RNAcentral lists this ribosomal RNA (400 nucleotides) under uncultured bacterium. RNAcentral describes it as "bacterial SSU rRNA". It matches the Rfam family "Bacterial small subunit ribosomal RNA", at positions 358 to 773 of the family's 1533-position model. The record is from RNAcentral.
GGAAUAUUGCGCAAUGGACGAAAGUCUGACGCAGCAACGCGGCGUGCGGGAAGAAGGGCUUCGGCUCGUAAACCGCUUUUCUGCGGGAAGAGCAAGGACGGUACCGCAGGAAUAAGUCCCGGCGAACUACGUGCCAGGAGCCGCGGUAAAACGUCGGAGGCGAACGUUAUCCGGAUUUACUGGGCGUAAAGCCCGUGCAGGUGGUCUGUUAAGUCGUGCGUGAAAGCUCCCUGGCUCAACCGGGAGAGGUCGUGCGAUACUGACGGACUGGAGACAGAGAGAGGCAAGUGGAAUUCCGGGUGUAGUGGUGAAAUGCGUAGAUAUCCGGAGGAACACCAGUGGCGAAGGCGGCUUGCUGGCUCUGUUCUGACACUCAGACGCGAAAGCAUGGGGAGCGAAC